AACGAACGCUGGCGGCAUGCCUAACACAUGCAAGUCGAACGAGACCUUCGGGUCUAGUGGCGCACGGGUGCGUAACGCGUGGGAACCUGCCUUUAGGUUCGGAAUAACUCAGAGAAAUUUGAGCUAAUACCGGAUAAUGUCUUCGGACCAAAGAUUUAUCGCCUUUAGAUGGGCCCGCGUAAGAUUAGCUAGUUGGUGGGGUAAAGGCCUACCAAGGCGACGAUCUUUAGCUGGUCUGAGAGGAUGAUCAGCCACACUGGGACUGAGACACGGCCCAGACUCCUACGGGAGGCAGCAGUGGGGAAUAUUGGACAAUGGGCGAAAGCCUGAUCCAGCAAUGCCGCGUGAGUGAUGAAGGCCUUAGGGGUUGUAAAGCUCUUUUACCCGAGAUGAUAAUGACAGUAUCGGGAGAAUAAGCUCCGGCUAACUCCGUGCCAGCAGCCGCGGUAAU
RNAcentral lists this ribosomal RNA (451 nucleotides) under uncultured bacterium. RNAcentral describes it as "bacterial SSU rRNA". It matches the Rfam family "Bacterial small subunit ribosomal RNA", at positions 29 to 524 of the family's 1533-position model. The record is from RNAcentral.